UCUCUCCCGACUCUUCCACUUCAUCAUCUACUCCAACUUCUAUUUUUUUUUCGUUACUUUCUCAAUCAGUGACGAUGUUAAAGGGAUUCUUAAAAGUUUUGCUCUACCUCUCUUUGAUAAUCCUCCUAUAUAAAGUUCUAUCUCUAAACCUAAAUCCAUCCUAAAAAAAAAACUAUUCGGCAGAAACGACAUCAAUGGCUAUUAAAUCCACCACGAAGUCUCAGAUUACCACCGGAAAAUCUCCAGUCACCAUGUAUUUCAACGACAUCUCACCAGGACGAUCAACUUUUGGGAGACACAAAACAUAGCCGAAGCUGGAGCCUCUCUUGGAUUAGAGCUACGGCCAUGGAAUCCAACGGAAAGUCUCCCGUCUCCACCGGAAAGUCUCCCGUCUCCACCGGAAAGUCACAAGCUGUGAAUCCCUUGGAACAGAAUCUACUGCUACAGAUGACGAAAUCACAUUGACGGAUGAAGAGAAGCAUAGAAACAUCAGAAUCUGUGACAUGCUUUUCACAGCAACGUCUCAUUGCCUUGCUGAUUUCAUCUUCUCUCUUGGCAACCAUUGCCUGCAAUUGAGUGACAGAGAGAGAAUAGACGUUAAGCUGAACUUCACAUCUGAUCUCAGGUUCGUAAAUCAAAUGAAAUAUAACCUUCUUAUCGUUUCUGACUUCAUGGUGGAGAAUAGGUUCAAUAGAGGAGAUAGAUACAAAGACAGCUAUAACAGUUAUUACUACCUAUACACAAUUAAUAACUGGGAUCUUAAAAGAGAUAGAUACAUUCAAAGACAGUAAUCUUUGGUGUUACUA
This is a long non-coding RNA of Brassica rapa (field mustard), 806 nucleotides long. RefSeq lists it as uncharacterized. Lineage: Eukaryota; Viridiplantae; Streptophyta; Magnoliopsida; Brassicales; Brassicaceae. The record is from RefSeq and is a predicted model, not a curated record.